RNAcentral lists this ribosomal RNA (197 nucleotides) under uncultured bacterium. RNAcentral describes it as "partial 16S ribosomal RNA". It matches the Rfam family "Bacterial small subunit ribosomal RNA", at positions 328 to 539 of the family's 1533-position model. The record is from RNAcentral.
ACGCUCGACACCUACGGGGGCAGCAGUGGGGAAUAUUGCACAAUGGGGGAAACCCUGAUGCAGCGACGCCGCGUGAGCGAAGAAGUAUUUCGGUAUGUAAAGCUCUAUCAGCAGGGAAGAAACUGACGGUACCUGACUAAGAAGCACCGGCUAAAUACGUGCCAGCAGCUGCGGUAAUCUGAGCGGGCUGGCAAGGC